RNAcentral lists this long non-coding RNA (4333 nucleotides) under Anas zonorhyncha (Eastern spot-billed duck). RNAcentral's name for it is "lncRNA (ENSAZOG00000006730.1)". The record is from RNAcentral. Lineage: Eukaryota; Metazoa; Chordata; Aves; Anseriformes; Anatidae.
AUGAGCACAAACACAAACAUGCUGUAUAAUCAUGUAGUGGCUGCUUGGGUACACAAGCUCUCCCUUCCAGAGCAGCGCGUAUUACAUCCAGCUAUGGGGCAAUUGCAAAGCAAAUUGAGCAACGCUGAAACUAUGCCUGUAUGUUUCAGAAUGCAAUUGGUAGGUGAAGGGAGCUGCAGCCAGCUGCCAAUGUUCCUCAGCAGUGACUUUUCACAGAACUGCUCCAGUAAAACUUUAUUUUUUUUUUUUUUUUUAACCGGUUACAAGAAAAAGCAGAGUGAGACUAAUUUUUUCUCUUGGCAAAAAAAGAAAGAGAGGGUACAUGGAAGUCAUACACCCCCAAGCAAGAGCAAGGCUGGAUGCAGAGACGGGCUCCGUGGACUGAAGGGAGAUGAGUUUGGGAAGAGCCUGGUGAGCCUGCCCCAGGAUCGUGGAGCAUCCAACAGCACCGGAGCCGUGCUCCCAGGUGGACAGAUGGGCUCUGCCUGCUUCCCGUGGCUGAGCUUGCUGCUUCUCAGUGGCCUCGCUCUGCGGCCAGGUAUUGCUGCGCCAACAGGUGACCCUGCUGAAGAGACAAAAGGCUUUUCCUCUAACAAUACACGUGUGACAGUUUAUCGUUGUAAAGAUUGUGACAGCAAAAUUUGCCAAUUAUCCAAUUAUGAGAUCUUUGAUAAAAUUGGAGAAACUAAAAAUGGGACAUUAUCAAAUGACAUAAUUCAGUUGGUGACCACUGAAACUCACAUCAUUAUGUGCUUUCAGCAAGAAAUUAAGUAUCUUAAUGAAGUUUAUGCCAUCUUCUGGCAGGAAGACUGGGGAAUAGGAGAAUCCUGUGGCAACCUGGAGCUUGGAGAAAAUGAGGUGCAUCACAUCACAGAGGAGGAGAAAAUCUGCUGUGCAGUAGAGGCAGAAGAAAUCCAACCACAAGUGGCUAACCUGAACUGCUACGUUGAAAAUAAGAAAAGCUCAAUAUACCAGACCCCCGAUAAUAUAACUCCAGAUAAUCCAACAGAUCCAGACAGCAGCAAGACAAUUGGCAUCACUGCCACUUUCCUGAUUCUUGGGGUUUGUGCAGCAGCACUGGCACUGUACUGUGUUCAAAGAACCCGAAGUGGUCAAGGACGUGUCGUAGUGCUCUAUCAGAUUUUUAAAGUGAAUGGAGAGAGACAGCUGUCUUCAGAAGGUGCUAUAAAACCCAAUCAGGCUUGUGAAAGUGGAAGGUCACAGCCAUUUGAAGCAUCAUCUACAAAUGAGACAAACCAGGCCCUUAUGCCAGCAGCAUCCUCAAACAAAGUCUAGCCAUCACCUGAAGAAACACGUUUAUUUUAUACCUCACAAUAGUUCUCACAAACGUACUUUCACAAUUCCCAUGCAUUCACUGAGGACUGCAAUUGCCCUAGUUAUCCAACUCCAGACUUUUGCAAGCAAUAAGAAAAGCUUCCAGGGGCUCUUGUCCUCUCCCGGUACUUGUCUGAGAAGCCCCAGCAUCACAAGAUGAAUGGCUUGUUUGGCAGCACAGACUUAUACCAACUGAAUCCUCCCUUUUUUUUUUAUGGUUGAAACUAUCGGUUCUCCUAAAAUUCUUUGGAGAAUUGCAUCUUUGCUCAGGCAGGCCGUGUUGAACCUUAAUGGAGAUGUUUUCUGCAUAUCUUCCAUGUCAUAACACAGUAGCGUGGCCAUAGUUUUUCAUCUGUUAAGUCCCAGGCUAGUUCUAGGUUUCCCUGAGAAGGAGUUUUGUAGAGCCAUGUGUAGGAAGGGACCUUAAAGACCACCCACUAGCUCAGGCUGUCCAGAGCCUCAUCCAGCCCGUACAGGUGACUGGUUUGUUUUUAGAGUGGUUUGGCCUUCUGAGCCAAAAGUCUGGUUUUGCAGCCACCUGCAGGUUGAAGGCUACUCUGCAGGCUCUGUCCUGUGCAGCAGAGACAGAAAGGCGUGCACUUCAGGGGUGCACAAACGGUAGUUCACAGGUAGCAUGUCAUCUUCAAGUGAUUUACUGCUCAUGCUUGAUUUGAGUAAAUCUUCAACAUUUGCGUUAUACCCAAACAAAUAUCAGGCUUUUGAGCAAAGAGCACCAGCAUCCAGAUUGCAAAAGCACAUCCCUGAAGUGGAAUGGAUGCUUGUUGAAUUAUUUUUUUGUAUAGUUUAACCAAUCAUAAACCUUUAAAUUGGUAGUUUCAUCAGGAAAUCUCAAAGGAUUUAGGAUGUAACAUGACUCUAUAUAGAUUUAAAAACAAUAGCAAAAAAAAAUAAUAAUACAAAAAGGUAUAUUAAAAAGUUAUGGACAUUUUCUUUUUCCCUUGACCUCAAAACUUUGGAAGGUCCUUCAAAUGCAAGUAGGAAAUUUCUGUGGUGUUUUGCAACAGUAUGAUGAGUUCAAUGUUUGUUUUACCAAGGCAGCUAUCAUGGGUGUUGCUUUUGGUUUUGUUUUUCUGCUGUAAGUCAUUUCUGCGAGAGCCUCUCAGGAAGUGCCGAGCAUUCCCAUUGAUGCAUGGAGCUGCGUGCUGGGCUUCAGGAGAUUCCAGUGAUGCAUAUCUGAUUUUCCUGGACCUAGAAAAAGACUGUCUUAAAAUUAAAGGCUGUUGCAGUUCUCUGAAGUGGUCUCUUAAUGGGGAAAAACAAAUGUGUGUAUACAUAUUAGUGUGUGCAUGUUAGGGCAGUCAAACUGAUGACUGACACUGCUCUUUUUUUGUGUACCCUCAGAUUUUGAGUUUUUUGAAACAGAGAUAACAUGCUAUUUGACAACUUAUGUUGUAGUAACUCAAGAGAUUCAAAUUUAAGAGUGUUCAAAUUUAAUUUCUAAUCUUUAACACCAGUUGGGGCCAGAGAGCUAGUCAAGCCUUGGGAAUAGAGGUUACCUGCCCAGUUCUGCCCAGUGACAGUUGCUCAGCUAAAUCUGUCACAAGAUGCAAUUCACAAACUGACUUUGGGGUGCACACACUUUCCUUCCCAUCUUUUCUGCCUUCCUACUGCUGAUUUUGCAGACAGUGAUAUUCAGAGGUGUCAGUCCCAGCUGUUCUGAUUUGUGCCUCCUGAGCUGCAUUUUGCCUGUAAUGCCAAUCAUCCGAUGUCUUGGGAAAAGGGCUUUAAUGAUCCUCUUGGCUCUCAGCAAGUGCCUGAUGUUGCUUUAUGUGUCUUUUUACAAAUAAAUAUAUCCACACAAAUAGUUCUGAAAUAAAAAUCAACUGAAAAUAUCAGGUAGCCUGACUCGACAGAUGGCAUAAUUUGAUAGUUGCAGUUUCAUUUUGAUGUACUUUGUUUUGUGUUCUUGUAGUCACCACAAUGCCAUGCCAACUUGAACACUGGCUAUUCACUGGUAACUCUGCAUCGGUCAUUUUGUUCUUUGGCUUCUUCAUGUCCUUUACAAAACAUCACCAUCAUGUGAGCCCCACACUCAUUACCCAGCAUUAUUGGGAUGAUCCACUUCUUGAGUAUUGCAAAAUCAAAGCCCAGGAGCAGGAAAUCCCUCCUGCCAUCUGCUUUUGUAUCUAGCAGUGAGUCUUCAUAGGGCUAAUUGAAAGCCCAUUUCACAACCCACCUGAACUCAGUUUUCUUUACAAGGUCUGAUGACCCUUAUCAGCUGUCAGGCAAUCAUUCCUUCAAGAAAAGCUGUUUGUUGUAUCAGGGAGAGAGUAGGGUGUGAGCUAUGACUGAGCUUCCCUUUUGUUGCUGGCUUGCAGCUACAGAACAUCUCUAAGCGUGAAGCCACGGGAGAGGUACACACUGUACUGCUGCUCUGAAAACACACACCAUCCCAUUGCUGGGAGAACACAGGCUCGUCACUGGCAAAAUACAGGUCAAGCCUGCAAGUUUGUGAGCAGGCUUUGUAUAUUAAUUUAAGGUUUAGCUGAAGUAGCAGUGUAUCUUUCUCCCUCUUGCCCCUUACAAAGCCAACGCUUUCAAUUGCAGCCUGCAGCAGGGCUGGCUGCUGAGCCUGGGGGCAUUGACAGUCUGUAUCGACUGCAGCUAGUGCUGAUGUUUCCACUAACAGCCCCCACAUCUGGGGCUUGUUCUGUGGUAGUAAAGUGUGGGCGUUGCCAGUGUGAAGUCAACAACAGAAUACACCUCUCUCUAAAUCUCUCGCUCCCCUCUCUGUCACAGUGUCUGUGAUGUGAAGACAGAAGAAGCAAGUUGCUGGGGAGGGGGAGAGAACUUCAGUUAGAAAGCAGCUGACAUAGCUAGAAGAUAACAGCCAGGUUUUGGCACACAAACCUGUCUUCAGCUCAUCAGUUGGGUUAUUGAGAUCAGCUAAAAAGACCUUGGAAAAUGCCGCAGACAUCACCUCUCCCAGUUGCAUCUCUCUUUCUUCUGCUUCUCCGGUUCAUCCCUGGCCUGAGUG